AGUGAACGCUGGCGGCGUGCCUAAUACAUGCAAGUCGAACGGACAAGUAAGAGCUUGCUCUUAUGAGUUAGUGGCGCACGGGUGAGUAAUGUAUAGCUAAUCUGCCCUACACUAGAGGACAACAGUUGGAAACGACUGCUAAUACUCUAUACUCCUGUCUUACAUAAGUUAGAUAGGGAAAGUUUUUCGGUGUAGGAUGAGGCUAUAUUGUAUCAGCUAGUUGGUGAGGUAAUGGCUUACCAAGGCUAUGACGCAUAACUGGUCUGAGAGGAUGAUCAGUCACACUGGAACUGAGACACGGUCCAGACUCCUACGGGAGGCAGCAGUAGGGAAUAUUGCUCAAUGGGGGAAACCCUGAAGCAGCAACGCCGCGUGGAGGAUGACACUUUUCGGAGCGUAAACUCCUUUUGUUAGGGAAGAACAAUGACG
Molecule: ribosomal RNA, 429 nt
Filed under: Campylobacter concisus
Lineage: Bacteria; Pseudomonadati; Campylobacterota; Epsilonproteobacteria; Campylobacterales; Campylobacteraceae
Description: bacterial SSU rRNA
Rfam family: Bacterial small subunit ribosomal RNA
Source: RNAcentral